GAUGAACGCUAGCUACAGGCUUAACACAUGCAAGUCGCGGGGCAGCAUGGUGGUUGCUUGCAACUCCCGAUGGCGACCGGCGCACGGGUGAGUAACGCGUCUCCAACCUGCCCUUCACCUCGGGAUAACCCGGCGAAAGUCGUACUAAUACCGUAUGUCUUCCAUUUACUGCGUCCGGUAUGGACGAAACGCUUUGCGGUGGAGUCUGGGGAUGCGUCCGAUUAGCCAGGCGGCGGGCUUACGGCCGACCGUGCCUACGAUCGGUAGGGGUUCUGGGAGGAAGGGGCCCGACACUGGGACUGAGACAAGGUGCAGACUCCUACGGGAGGGAGCAGUGAGGGAUAUUGGUCAAUGGGCGUAAGCCUGAACCAGCCAAGUAGCGUGCAGGAUGGCGGCGCUAUGGGUUGUAAACUGCUUUUAGGCGGGGACAAAGUGGCCCACGUGUGGGCGUUUGCAGGUACCGCAUGAAUAAGGACCGGCUAAUUCCGUG
RNAcentral lists this ribosomal RNA (490 nucleotides) under uncultured bacterium. RNAcentral describes it as "partial 16S ribosomal RNA". It matches the Rfam family "Bacterial small subunit ribosomal RNA", at positions 28 to 507 of the family's 1533-position model. The record is from RNAcentral.